Long non-coding RNA from Camelus dromedarius (Arabian camel), 1679 nucleotides. RefSeq lists it as uncharacterized. The transcript has 4 exons. The record is from RefSeq and is a predicted model, not a curated record. Lineage: Eukaryota; Metazoa; Chordata; Mammalia; Artiodactyla; Camelidae.
CUGGGCCGGGGAGAGGGGCCUUAGUCUCCCCAGGUCCCAGGCACGGGCCUGGGGUGCCCUUGGAACCUGGGAAACCCACCUGAAGAGGGUGCAGAGCAACUACAGACCCUCAGACCCUGUGGGCGUGAAGGUGGUGGCUGCUGUGUGCACAGGCUUUGUGUGUCCUUCUGAGCCUGGGGCACGGGUGUCUUCAAGCCCGCUGGCUGCUGCGUGCACCGUGGCGUCCCCUCCAUGAGGUGUCCCCUCCGUGAGCAGUACGCAGUCAGCUGCGAGACGAGGCCAGCCUCACUCCCGGAGCCCGAGGAAGGUGCUGCCCCCUGACGCCAUGCCGGAGGUGUAAGUAGUCCUCUCCCCCAGGGCUCCAGGUCGGUCCCUUUGCUGCGGAUUUCAGCCCGUAGUUAGGGACCAUCUGUUCAGUCCCUGAGCAGCUCUCCGGGACACCACAUCCUCAAACAGGGAUGGUCCUGAGUGCUGGGGUUCCCCAGCUUCACCACGUGUCCUCCCAGGUUUUGAGCAGAACUUGCCCCAGUUUGUCUUGGGAAGACCUUUUUGGCCUGUGUCUCAGAGUUUGUCUGCACUGCACCCAGGCCAUGAAUUACCAUUGCCGAAUAGAUUAACAGAGCUUUGGGAAGGGACCCACAUGCCCACUCGGGAUCCCACGUGGACCCUCCAUCCUCCCCAGCGUACAAUGGCUGGUGCUUCCCAGCAAGGACCCCCAGUAGCUCAAAGGGCUGGUGGGUUUUUUCCCUUCUGCUGAUCCUCAAACUGGCCCCACCACGUGAUGUCUGAUUCCUUUCUGGGCACUGGCACGGCACCCCUGCCCCAGCUUGUUCCUGGGGUCUGCCGCCCAGUGUGUGAAAUGCGUUGUUCACACUCACUCUGUCUUCCGCUCUCCCCCUUCCACCCCCGCCCUGGGUCCUCCCUGUGAUGGACGCCUGCAGCGAGGUGAGUGAGACUUGGGGUAUCUCUGUUUGGCUUAAGUCUUUAGAUGGGUGAGGGUGGGGUGGACAUUUGAGGAGAGGUGAGAGCUUGGGUCAGGACCCAGGGAGGGGGUGCCCAGUGGCUGAGCAAAUUCCCAGGAGAGUAGAAACCCUGGGGGAAGACUCUGGACGCAGGGCUCCUCGAGGUCCAGGCAGGGGGUUCCCCCGGCACGAUGUCCCUGGAAGGUGGUCCUGGGGCUGCGACCAGGCAGAGCCCGGUGUGCCUCUGCACCUAGGCUGACCGCGGAGCAAGUCCUCCCUGCCCUGGUCUGAGAACCGUUCCAGCCCUGGGGGCCGUGCUUGUCCUUGAAGAGCCAGUCCCUGGAAAGCCACAUUUGAAGGGUGGGAGGGGAUCUCCUUGGGUUUUUCCACCUCCCGCAACAUUGAGGGAGGAGCACAGAGGGUCCUUGCCUCCUCUCCAGGUCUCAGCUGGCUGGAUACAGUCCAGAUUUGUUCAGCUGCUGAGGACACAGCCUCCGUCCAGCCCUGGGCGGUCGGGGUGGUGACUGCAGGGGGUGGGCUGCGGCUCAGGGCUGGCAGGGGGCAUCAGCAGCACAGACGGAGGGGACACUCCGCAGAGUCUCAGUGAGAAUCAAAUAAGCUGUUUCUCUAUAGCCCUGUGAGUCUUUAAGUUUAUUGAAGGGAGUCCUCAGUGGCGGCUCCGAAGCGCCCCGUGUGGCAGGGAGCGGCACUGCAGCC